CUCAAGGGAGUAGCUGGCAGAAACCUGUGAUAGUGUCGUCAUUCCGAAUUUUAUACUGAAAAGUAUGCUUUCCGGCACUAUCUUAAACAGCGAGACUUGUUAUGAUUAACAGGUCUCUUUUU
Non-coding RNA from Streptococcus sp. DORA_10, 122 nucleotides. Lineage: Bacteria; Bacillati; Bacillota; Bacilli; Lactobacillales; Streptococcaceae. The record is from Rfam.